UACAGAGGGUGCGAGCGUUGUUCGGAAUUACUGGGCGUAAAGCGUGCGCAGGCGGUUUUGUAAGCCAGAUGUGAAAUCCCCGGGCUUAACCUGGGAAUGGCAUUUGGGACUGCAAGGCUGGAGUGUGGCAGAGGAGACUGGAAUUCCUGGUGUAGCAGUGAAAUGCGUAGAUAUCAGGAGGAAUACCGAUGGCGAAGGCAGGUCUCUGGGCUGACACUGACGCUCAUGCACGAAAGCGUGGGGAGCAAACAGG
Molecule: ribosomal RNA, 253 nt
Filed under: uncultured bacterium
Lineage: Bacteria
Description: partial 16S ribosomal RNA
Rfam family: Bacterial small subunit ribosomal RNA
Source: RNAcentral